GGCGAACGGGUGCGUAACACGUAAGUAAUCUACCUCAAACUUUGGGAUAACCUCUCGAAAGGGGGGCUAAUACCAAGUAGUUCCUAAUGGCAUAAGCUGUGGGGGGAAAGUGGGCCUCUAAAUUAUGCUCGCGGUUUGAGAUGAGCUUGCGGUCCAUUAGCUUGUUGGUAGGGUAAUGGCUUACCAAGGCGACGAUGGAUAGCUGGUCUGAGAGGAUGAUCAGCCACACUGGCACUGAGACACGGGCCAGACUCCUACGGGAGGCAGCAGUGGGGAAUUUUGCGCAAUGGGCGAAAGCCUGACGCAGUAACGCCGCGUGGAGGAUGAAGGCCUUUGGGUUGUAAACUCCUGACAGGGGGGAAGAUAAUGCUGUAGCAAAUAGCUUCAGCAUUAUGACGGUACCCCCAAAGGAAGCCCCGGCUAAUUCCGUGCCAGCAGCCGCGGUAAUACGGAAGGGGCAAGCGUUGUUCGGAAUUAUUGGGCGUAAAGGGCGCGUAGGCUGUCCCAUAUGUCCGCUGUGAAAUCACACGGCUCAACCGUGUUGGGUCGGCGGAAACUGUGAGACUUGA
Molecule: ribosomal RNA, 569 nt
Filed under: uncultured Pseudomonadota bacterium
Lineage: Bacteria; Pseudomonadati; Pseudomonadota
Description: bacterial SSU rRNA
Rfam family: Bacterial small subunit ribosomal RNA
Source: RNAcentral